Molecule: non-coding RNA, 81 nt
Organism: Paragonimus heterotremus
Lineage: Eukaryota; Metazoa; Platyhelminthes; Trematoda; Plagiorchiida; Troglotrematidae
Source: the annotation of a GenBank genome assembly
GGUUUCGUAGCUCAGCUAGUAGAGCACUGGCAGCGUUUGACCAUGCUGUUUCUGUCGCUGGUUCGAAUCCAGCCGAAGCCC